RNAcentral lists this ribosomal RNA (884 nucleotides) under uncultured candidate division WS6 bacterium. Its description in RNAcentral is "bacterial SSU rRNA". It matches the Rfam family "Bacterial small subunit ribosomal RNA", at positions 50 to 898 of the family's 1533-position model. The record is from RNAcentral.
AAGGUAUGCAAGUCGAACGAUCCCUUUGAAUUACUUGAAACUUCGGUUGAUUGUAUUUCUUUUUGGGAUAGUGGCAAACGGGUGAGUAACACGUGGAUAACCUGCCUUAAAGUCAUGAACAGCUCAUCGAAAGAUGGGAUAAUACAUGAUGGUCUUACAAUUUCUAUCCGACUUUGUAAGUAAAGCUCCGGCGCUUUAAGAGGGGUCCGCGUCCUAUCAGCUUGUUGGUGAGGUAAUAGCUCACCAAGGCUAAGACGGGUAGCUGGCGUGAGAGCGCGGUCAGCCACCAUGGAACUGAGACACGGUCCAUACUCCUACGGGAGGCAGCAAUUAGGAAUCUUGCGCAAUGGGGGCAACCCUGACGCAGCGACACAGCGUGGAGGACGAAGGUCUUCGGAUUGUAAACUCCUUUUAUAUGGGAAGAAUAGAUGACGGUACCAUAUGAAUAAGCACCUGCUAACUACGUGCCAGAAGCAUCGGUGAUACGUAGGGUGCGAACGUUAUCCGGAUUUAUUGGGCGUAUAGAGAUGCGUAGGCGUUUCUGUAAGUCUGAAGUUAAAGCCCACGGCUUAACCGUGGAAAAGCUUUGGAAACUGCAGAAAUUGAGACAGGAAGAGGCGAAUGGAAUUCCCAGUGGAGCGGUGAAAUGCGUUGAUAUUGGGAGGAACAUCAGUGGCGAAGGCGAUUCGCUGGUCCUUGUCUGACGCUGAGGCUCGAAAGCGUGGGUAGCAAAACGGAUUAGAUACCCGUGUAGUCCACGCCGUAAACUAUGGAUGCUAGGUGUUCGGUACAACCGUUUUUUCCUUCGGGAAAAAAUGGAAGUAUUGAGUGCCGCAGCUAACGCGUUAAGCAUCCCGCCUGGGAAGUACGGNCGCAAGGCUAAA